CCCAUGUGUAGGAAUUGAGAAUUUCUAAAGGCUUCAGUGUAUUGUCAGAUCAGCUAACAACGUUCAAAACCCCCUUUCCGAUGACAAGAUUACAAUCAAGGCCACUUCAACCAGCAAUCUGUCUGCCGUGCAGAGCAGUCAUCCUCACUUUUGUGGGCGACCUGGUGAAGUCAGAGGGGAGGAUUAGAACGGCUGGGAAACUGACUGCCACCACCAAACCCAUCCACACUGGCUCGCAGGACAAAUGGAAAAAAUACAGACAUGCUGAGGAUGAGAGAUCUGUGAUUGGGGCACCACAGGGUGUGACAGCUCCUGGCAGAGGAUAUGCACACUUCCAGACAGCAAUGCAUUGAGGCUCCGCACAGACACUGGUGCAAGAAUCCAACCAAACACCAACAUCUUUACAGGCCGGGCCAGGCCAGGCUUUGCAAUGAUUAAAACCAACCUAACCUCCAGACAGAACACGUGACCAAGCAUAAUAAACUCAUAAACUGCCAUAAAACAACUUCAGAGUUUAGAUCUACAGCGGUCAGCAGCAUUUCACAAUGCAUGCAUUGAUUCAACACAGUUAUGUCAUUGCCUUCAUUAAAUCAAUCUGGAUCAAAGUACUUUUACAGCCCUGAUGUAAGUUCAACCCGUAUGAAAUUUUAACUUUUAUUACGACCUUUGACCUUUCA
This is a long non-coding RNA of Sebastes umbrosus (honeycomb rockfish), 677 nucleotides long. RefSeq lists it as uncharacterized. The transcript is spliced from 3 exons. The record is from RefSeq and is a predicted model, not a curated record. NCBI's taxonomy places the organism in Eukaryota, Metazoa, Chordata, Actinopteri, Perciformes, Sebastidae.